Molecule: long non-coding RNA, 372 nt
Organism: Ictalurus punctatus (channel catfish)
Lineage: Eukaryota; Metazoa; Chordata; Actinopteri; Siluriformes; Ictaluridae
Source: Ensembl
UGAAAAUUACUGACUUGUGCUCAUCUGGUGUGCUGCGGAAAGUAUUGGCACCCCUCUGCCUCAUCCGUCGUUGUAAAUGGAGCACCAUAGGAGCGCCAGUGUGCAGAUAUUCCUUUUAUAAACAGAAGCAGGAAUAGUGAACUCUCAGGAGAAGAAGGAGAAGAAGAAGAAGAAGAGGGGGCACAUCAGCGCACCUUUCCCCAGGACAGUCGAGUCGAGCACUUAUGUAUGGAACUGAUUCAGGGGCGGAGCUACAUGUGAGCACAAUCUGUGAUGUCACGAAAGUACAGCGUCAACAGCUUCAGACCAAUCACCUGUGAUAUGCAAAUGUUUCGAAGACGACAGCGUGGUUACAGAAGAGAUCUUUUUUUU